This 468-nucleotide ribosomal RNA is filed under the name uncultured bacterium. Its description in RNAcentral is "partial 16S ribosomal RNA". It matches the Rfam family "Bacterial small subunit ribosomal RNA", at positions 28 to 507 of the family's 1533-position model. The record is from RNAcentral.
GACGAACGCUGGCGGCGUGCUUAACACAUGCAAGUCGAACGGAAAGGCCCUGCUUUUGUGGGGUGCUCGAGUGGCGAACGGGUGAGUAACACGUGAGUAACCUGCCCUUGACUUUGGGAUAACUUCAGGAAACUGGGGCUAAUACCGGAUAGGAGCUCCUGCUGCAUGGUGGGGGUUGGAAAGUUUCGGCGGUUGGGGAUGGACUCGCGGCUUAUCAGCUCGUUGGUGGGGUAGUGGCUUACCAAGGCUUUGACGGGUAGCCGGCCUGAGAGGGUGACCGGCCACAUUGGGACUGAGAUACGGCCCAGACUCCUACGGGAGGCAGCAGUGGGGAAUAUUGCACAAUGGGCGGAAGCCUGAUGCAGCAACGCCGCGUGCGGGAUGACGGCCUUCGGGUUGUAAACCGCUUUCGCUUGUGACGAAGCGUGAGUGACGGUAAUGGGUAAAGAAGCACCGGCUAACUACGUG